RNAcentral lists this ribosomal RNA (521 nucleotides) under uncultured bacterium. RNAcentral's name for it is "bacterial SSU rRNA". It matches the Rfam family "Bacterial small subunit ribosomal RNA", at positions 8 to 518 of the family's 1533-position model. The record is from RNAcentral.
AGGGUUCGAUUCUGGCUCAGAACGAACGCUGGCGGCGCGCUUAAGCAUGCAAGUCGAACGGCAAGAGGUAGCAAUACCUCCUAGAGUGGCGGACUGGUGAGUAACACGUGGGUGACAUACCCUUCAGAUGGGGAUAGCUAUUAGAAAUAGUAGAUAAUACCGAAUACGAGCACAGGGGUUAGAGAUCUGUGAGGAAAGGAGCUAAGGCUCCGCUGAAGGAAUGGCCUGCGGCCCAUUAGCUAGUUGGUGAGGUAAGAGCCCACCAAGGCGAUGAUGGGUAUCCGGCCUUAGAGGGUGAACGGACACAUUGGGACUGAGAUACGGCCCAGACUCCUACGGGAGGCAGCAGCUAAGAAUAUUCCGCAAUGGACGAAAGUCUGACGGAGCGACGCCGCCGUGGAUGAAGAAGGCCGGAAGGUUGUAAAAUCCUUUUGAAACUGAAGAAUAAGCGUUGUAGGGAAUGACAGCGUGGUGACAGUAGGUUUUGAAUAAGCAACGGCUAAUUACGUGCCAGCCGCCGC